This 2741-nucleotide ribosomal RNA is filed under the name Staphylococcus aureus. Its description in RNAcentral is "partial 23S ribosomal RNA". It matches the Rfam family "Bacterial large subunit ribosomal RNA". The record is from RNAcentral. RNAcentral also lists the same sequence under 1 other name. Lineage: Bacteria; Bacillati; Bacillota; Bacilli; Caryophanales; Staphylococcaceae.
ACACCCGGAGAACUGAAACAUCUUAGUACCCGGAGGAAGAGAAAGAAAAUUCGAUUCCCUUAGUAGCGGCGAGCGAAACGGGAAGAGCCCAAACCAACAAGCUUGCUUGUUGGGGUUGUAGGACACUCUAUACGGAGUUACAAAGGACGACAUUAGACGAAUCAUCUGGAAAGAUGAAUCAAAGAAGGUAAUAAUCCUGUAGUCGAAAAUGUUGUCUCUCUUGAGUGGAUCCUGAGUACGACGGAGCACGUGAAAUUCCGUCGGAAUCUGGGAGGACCAUCUCCUAAGGCUAAAUACUCUCUAGUGACCGAUAGUGAACCAGUACCGUGAGGGAAAGGUGAAAAGCACCCCGGAAGGGGAGUGAAAUAGAACCUGAAACCGUGUGCUUACAAGUAGUCAGAGCCCGUUAAUGGGUGAUGGCGUGCCUUUUGUAGAAUGAACCGGCGAGUUACGAUUUGAUGCAAGGUUAAGCAGUAAAUGUGGAGCCGUAGCGAAAGCGAGUCUGAAUAGGGCGUUUAGUAUUUGGUCGUAGACCCGAAACCAGGUGAUCUACCCUUGGUCAGGUUGAAGUUCAGGUAACACUGAAUGGAGGACCGAACCGACUUACGUUGAAAAGUGAGCGGAUGAACUGAGGGUAGCGGAGAAAUUCCAAUCGAACCUGGAGAUAGCUGGUUCUCUCCGAAAUAGCUUUAGGGCUAGCCUCAAGUGAUGAUUAUUGGAGGUAGAGCACUGUUUGGACGAGGGGCCCCUCUCGGGUUACCGAAUUCAGACAAACUCCGAAUGCCAAUUAAUUUAACUUGGGAGUCAGAACAUGGGUGAUAAGGUCCGUGUUCGAAAGGGAAACAGCCCAGACCACCAGCUAAGGUCCCAAAAUAUAUGUUAAGUGGAAAAGGAUGUGGCGUUGCCCAGACAACUAGGAUGUUGGCUUAGAAGCAGCCAUCAUUUAAAGAGUGCGUAAUAGCUCACUAGUCGAGUGACACUGCGCCGAAAAUGUACCGGGGCUAAACAUAUUACCGAAGCUGUGGAUUGUCCUUUGGACAAUGGUAGGAGAGCGUUCUAAGGGCGUUGAAGCAUGAUCGUAAGGACAUGUGGAGCGCUUAGAAGUGAGAAUGCCGGUGUGAGUAGCGAAAGACGGGUGAGAAUCCCGUCCACCGAUUGACUAAGGUUUCCAGAGGAAGGCUCGUCCGCUCUGGGUUAGUCGGGUCCUAAGCUGAGGCCGACAGGCGUAGGCGAUGGAUAACAGGUUGAUAUUCCUGUACCACCUAUAAUCGUUUUAAUCGAUGGGGGGACGCAGUAGGAUAGGCGAAGCGUGCGAUUGGAUUGCACGUCUAAGCAGUAAGGCUGAGUAUUAGGCAAAUCCGGUACUCGUUAAGGCUGAGCUGUGAUGGGGAGAAGACAUUGUGUCUUCGAGUCGUUGAUUUCACACUGCCGAGAAAAGCCUCUAGAUAGAAAAUAGGUGCCCGUACCGCAAACCGACACAGGUAGUCAAGAUGAGAAUUCUAAGGUGAGCGAGCGAACUCUCGUUAAGGAACUCGGCAAAAUGACCCCGUAACUUCGGGAGAAGGGGUGCUCUUUAGGGUUAACGCCCAGAAGAGCCGCAGUGAAUAGGCCCAAGCGACUGUUUAUCAAAAACACAGGUCUCUGCUAAACCGUAAGGUGAUGUAUAGGGGCUGACGCCUGCCCGGUGCUGGAAGGUUAAGAGGAGUGGUUAGCUUCUGCGAAGCUACGAAUCGAAGCCCCAGUAAACGGCGGCCGUAACUAUAACGGUCCUAAGGUAGCGAAAUUCCUUGUCGGGUAAGUUCCGACCCGCACGAAAGGCGUAACGAUUUGGGCACUGUCUCAACGAGAGACUCGGUGAAAUCAUAGUACCUGUGAAGAUGCAGGUUACCCGCGACAGGACGGAAAGACCCCGUGGAGCUUUACUGUAGCCUGAUAUUGAAAUUCGGCACAGCUUGUACAGGAUAGGUAGGAGCCUUUGAAACGUGAGCGCUAGCUUACGUGGAGGCGCUGGUGGGAUACUACCCUAGCUGUGUUGGCUUUCUAACCCGCACCACUUAUCGUGGUGGGAGACAGUGUCAGGCGGGCAGUUUGACUGGGGCGGUCGCCUCCUAAAAGGUAACGGAGGCGCUCAAAGGUUCCCUCAGAAUGGUUGGAAAUCAUUCAUAGAGUGUAAAGGCAUAAGGGAGCUUGACUGCGAGACCUACAAGUCGAGCAGGGUCGAAAGACGGACUUAGUGAUCCGGUGGUUCCGCAUGGAAGGGCCAUCGCUCAACGGAUAAAAGCUACCCCGGGGAUAACAGGCUUAUCUCCCCCAAGAGUUCACAUCGACGGGGAGGUUUGGCACCUCGAUGUCGGCUCAUCGCAUCCUGGGGCUGUAGUCGGUCCCAAGGGUUGGGCUGUUCGCCCAUUAAAGCGGUACGCGAGCUGGGUUCAGAACGUCGUGAGACAGUUCGGUCCCUAUCCGUCGUGGGCGUAGGAAAUUUGAGAGGAGCUGUCCUUAGUACGAGAGGACCGGGAUGGACAUACCUCUGGUGUACCAGUUGUCGUGCCAACGGCAUAGCUGGGUAGCUAUGUGUGGACGGGAUAAGUGCUGAAAGCAUCUAAGCAUGAAGCCCCCCUCAAGAUGAGAUUUCCCAACUUCGGUUAUAAGAUCCCUCAAAGAUGAUGAGGUUAAUAGGUUCGAGGUGGAAGCAUGGUGACAUGUGGAGCUGACGAAUACUAAUCGAUCGAAGACUUAAUCAA